This 492-nucleotide ribosomal RNA is filed under the name uncultured bacterium. RNAcentral describes it as "partial 16S ribosomal RNA". It matches the Rfam family "Bacterial small subunit ribosomal RNA", at positions 29 to 507 of the family's 1533-position model. The record is from RNAcentral.
AGUGAACGCUGGCGGUAGGCCUAACACAUGCAAGUCGAACGGCAGCACAGUAAGAGCUUGCUCUUACGGGUGGCGAGUGGCGGACGGGUGAGGAAUACAUCGGAAUCUCCUUUUUCGUGGGGGAUAACGUAGGGAAACUUACGCUAAUACCGCAUACGACCUACGGGUGAAAGCAGGGGAUCUUCGGACCUUGCGCGAUUGAGUGAGCCGAUGUCGGAUUAGCUAGUUGGCGGGGUAAAGGCCCACCAAGGCGACGAUCCGUAGCUGGUCUGAGAGGAUGAUCAGCCACACUGGAACUGAGACACGGUCCAGACUCCUACGGGAGGCAGCAGUGGGGAAUAUUGGACAAUGGGCGCAAGCCUGAUCCAGCCAUACCGCGUGGGUGAAGAAGGCCUUCGGGUUGUAAAGCCCUUUUGUUGGGAAAGAAAAGCAGCAGGUUAAUACCCCGCUGUUCUGACGGUACCCAAAGAAUAAGCACCGGCUAACUUCGUG